CCUACGGGUGGCAGCAGUGAGGAAUAUUGGUCAAUGGACGAGAGACUGAACCAGCCAAGUCGCGUGAAGGAUGAAGGAACUAUGGUUUGUAAACUUCUUUUAUAUGGGAAUAAAGUGAGGAACGUGUCCCUUUUUGUAUGUACCUUAUGAAUAAGCAUCGGCUAACUCCGUGCCAGCAGCCGCGGUAAUACGGAGGAUGCGAGCGUUAUCCGGAUUUAUUGGGUUUAAAGGGUGCGUAGGUGGUUUGUUAAGUCAGCGGUGAAAGUUUGGGGCUCAACCAUAAAAUUGCCGUUGAAACUGGUAGUCUUGAGUAGAAUAGAGGUAGGCGGAAUGCGCGGUGUAGCGGUGAAAUGCAUAGAUAUCGCGCAGAACUCCGAUUGCGAAGGCAGCAUACCAACUUCUCACUGACACUGAGGCACGAAAGCGUGGGUAUCAAACAGGAUUAGAUACCCCAGUAGUC
This 460-nucleotide ribosomal RNA is filed under the name uncultured bacterium. RNAcentral describes it as "partial 16S ribosomal RNA". It matches the Rfam family "Bacterial small subunit ribosomal RNA", at positions 338 to 795 of the family's 1533-position model. The record is from RNAcentral.